Rhincodon typus (whale shark) is the source of this 536-nucleotide long non-coding RNA. RefSeq lists it as uncharacterized. The record is from RefSeq and is a predicted model, not a curated record. The transcript is spliced from 3 exons. Lineage: Eukaryota; Metazoa; Chordata; Chondrichthyes; Orectolobiformes; Rhincodontidae.
UCUUUCUUUCCUCCAAAGCAUCAACGCAGUACAAUUUCAUAUGAGAAGAGAGGCUACAGCUUCUGGGAAAACUUGGAAUGGAGCUGCAUCCUUGGCCAACCUGCCAAUACAUGAGGAUGCACUGAAAAUUGGCAGGAUGGAGCCAAUGUCAGGCUGUCACUGAUGGACUUGAUGGCAAAGAAGGGGAGUUCAGAGCAUGGCCAGUUGGUCAAUCUGAAAAUUCUUCCAACACACUCUGGUGGCAGGCUGUAGGAGUAGAAGAGAUUCUUGGUCAAACACGAUGGAAAGAAUGUUGGAGCCUCGACCGUCACCAAUCAGCGCUCCCUGUAUGUGAAAGUGCAUGUUCCUACAGCAGCCAGACUUCUCGAGUGAUCUGUAACCCACCAGCCACAACAUGUCCACUGGAAAAGUGGUUAAGCUCAAGGGAAACUCACACGCUGCAGGCCAAUGAGUGGAUGCAGGCACACACUUCUGGAUAUGACAAAUUUGAAAAACACUAAUCAAAUAGUUACCUUGAUGGCUGAACACUGCAUUCA